UACGUAGGUGGCAAGCGUUGUCCGGAUUUAUUGGGCGUAAAGGGAGCGCAGGCGGUGACUUAAGUCUGAUGUGAAAGCCCACGGCUCAACCGUGGAAGGUCAUUGGAAACUGGGUCACUUGAAUAUAGAAGAGGAAAGUGGAAUUCCAUGUGUAGCGGUGAAAUGCGUAGAUAUAUGGAGGAACACCAGUGGCGAAGGCGACUUUCUGGUCUAUUAUUGACGCUGAGGCUCGAAAGCAUGGGUAGCAAACAGGAUUAGAUA
This 261-nucleotide ribosomal RNA is filed under the name uncultured prokaryote. Its description in RNAcentral is "partial 16S ribosomal RNA". It matches the Rfam family "Bacterial small subunit ribosomal RNA", at positions 524 to 784 of the family's 1533-position model. The record is from RNAcentral.